This 463-nucleotide ribosomal RNA is filed under the name bacterium LB2006. RNAcentral's name for it is "bacterial SSU rRNA". It matches the Rfam family "Bacterial small subunit ribosomal RNA", at positions 28 to 460 of the family's 1533-position model. The record is from RNAcentral.
GACGAACGCUGGCGGCGUGCCUAACACAUGCAAGUCGAGCGGGGACAUUGCGACAGAUAUGAAGUCUUCGGAUGAAUUUGAAGAUGUAAUGUUCUAGCGGCGGACGGGUGAGUAACGCGUGAGCAACCUGUCCCUUACAGGGGGAUAACACAGCGAAAGUUGUACUAAUACCGCAUAAGACCACAGAGCGACAUCGCUUAGGGGUCAAAGGAGCAAUCCGGUAAGGGGUGGGCUCGCGUCCGAUUAGAUAGUUGGUGAGGUAACGGCCCACCAAGUCGACGAUCGGUAGCCGACCUGAGAGGGUGAUCGGCCACAUUGGGACUGAGACACGGCCCAAACUCCUACGGGAGGCAGCAGUGGGGAAUAUUGGGCAAUGGGGGAAACCCUGACCCAGCAACGCCGCGUGAGGGAAGAAGGUUUUCGGAUCGUAAACCUCUGUCCUUGGUGAAGAGAAAGAGACGUA